CUUUUUCUAUACAUCGAGUCAGUGUUGCUAUGUGACCGUACUUACUGGUUUUAUUCAUAAAAUUCCAAGCGGCACCUGCCUUUUUACUCGAAGAUGAAUAAACCUGUCUUAAUUUUGUUAGUCUGGGCCUGCUCGCCCUCGAAGACUAAGUGCAAAAAGAGACGAGAGAGAGAGAUAGAGAUUCUGCUAAAAACUAAAUACUCUAUUACUUAGAAACAGAAAUUACAAGUGCACUCUUCCUC
Molecule: long non-coding RNA, 242 nt
Filed under: Ananas comosus (pineapple)
Lineage: Eukaryota; Viridiplantae; Streptophyta; Magnoliopsida; Poales; Bromeliaceae
Description: long non-coding RNA (ACOM_LNC005204)
Source: RNAcentral